Molecule: ribosomal RNA, 889 nt
Filed under: Hymenochaete rhabarbarina
Lineage: Eukaryota; Fungi; Basidiomycota; Agaricomycetes; Hymenochaetales; Hymenochaetaceae
Description: partial 25S ribosomal RNA
Rfam family: Eukaryotic large subunit ribosomal RNA
Source: RNAcentral
NNNNNAACAAGGAUUCCCUAGUAACUGCGAGUGAACCGGGAUGAGCUCAAAUUUAAAAUCUGGCGGUUCUGCCGUCCGAGUUGUAAUCUGGAGAAGCGUUUCCCGCGUCGGACCGUGUACAAGUCUCUUGGAAUAGAGCGUCAUAGAGGGUGAGAAUCCCGUCCAUGACACGGACUGCCGAUGCUAUGUGAUACGCUCUCAAAGAGUCGAGUUGUUUGGGAAUGCAGCUCAAAAUGGGUGGUAAAUCCCAUCUAAAGCUAAAUAUUGGCGAGAGACCGAUAGCGAACAAGUACCGUGAGGGAAAGAUGAAAAGCACUUUGGAAAGAGAGUUAAACAGUACGUGAAAUUGUUGAAAGGGAAACGCUUGAAGUCAGUCGCGUCGUGCGGAGCUCAGCCUUGCUUCUGCUUGGUGUAUUCUCCGUGUCGAUGGGUCAACAUCAAUUUUGGCCGGUGGAAAAGGGUCCAGGGAAUGUAGCGUCGUUUCGGCGAYGUGUUAUAGCCUUGGAUCGUAUGCAUCGGCUGGGAUUGAGGACCGCAGCUUUAUGCUUAGGAUGUUGGCAAAAUGGCUUUAAGCGACCCGUCUUGAAACACGGACCAAGGAGUCUAACAUGCCUGCGAGUGUUCGGGUGGAAAACCCUUGCGCGUAAUGAAAGUGAAAGUUGGGAUCCCUCGCAAGGGGGUGCACCGACGCCCGGCCCAGACGUUCUCUGACGGUGCUGCGGUAGAGCAUGUAUGUUGGGACCCGAAAGAUGGUGAACUAUGCCUGAAUAGGGUGAAGCCAGAGGAAACUCUGGUGGAGGCUSGUAGCGAUUCUGACGUGCAAAUCGAUCGUCAAAUUUGGGUAUAGGGGCGAAAGACUAAUCGAACCNNNNNNNNNNNNNNNNNNNNN